AUUGAACGCUGGCGGCAGGCCUAACACAUGCAAGUCGAACGGUAACAGGGAUCAGCUUGCUGAUUCGCUGACGAGUGGCGGACGGGUGAGUAAUGUCUGGGAAACUGCCUGAUGGAGGGGGAUAACUACUGGAAACGGUAGCUAAUACCGCAUAACGUCGCAAGACCAAAGAGGGGGACCUUCGGGCCUCUUGCCAUCGGAUGUGCCCAGAUGGGAUUAGCUAGUAGGUGGGGUAACGGCUCACCUAGGCGGCGAUCCCUAGCUGGUCUGAGAGGAUGACCAGCCACACUGGAACUGAGACACGGUCCAGACUCCUACGGGAGGCAGCAGUGGGGAAUAUUGCACAAUGGGCGCAAGCCUGAUGCAGCCAUGCCGCGUGUAUGAAGAAGGCCUUCGGGUUGUAAAGUACUUUCAGCGGGGAGGAAGGGAGUAAAGUUAAUACCUUUGCUCAUUGACGUUACCCGCAGAAGAAGCACCGGCUAACUCCGUG
This 490-nucleotide ribosomal RNA is filed under the name uncultured bacterium. RNAcentral's name for it is "partial 16S ribosomal RNA". It matches the Rfam family "Bacterial small subunit ribosomal RNA", at positions 30 to 507 of the family's 1533-position model. The record is from RNAcentral.